UCCUUGAUGGUCCAGUGGCUAGGAUACAACGUUCUCACCGUUGCGGCCGGGGUUCGAUUCCCCGUCAGGGAG
Gorgonomyces haynaldii is the source of this 72-nucleotide non-coding RNA. NCBI's taxonomy places the organism in Eukaryota, Fungi, Chytridiomycota, Chytridiomycetes, Rhizophydiales, Gorgonomycetaceae. The record is from the annotation of a GenBank genome assembly.